UCUGAGAGAGCAGAUUCUUCGGG
RNAcentral lists this non-coding RNA (23 nucleotides) under Cricetulus griseus (Chinese hamster). Lineage: Eukaryota; Metazoa; Chordata; Mammalia; Rodentia; Cricetidae. The record is from RNAcentral.